Molecule: ribosomal RNA, 495 nt
Filed under: uncultured Glomeromycotina
Lineage: Eukaryota; Fungi; Glomeromycota
Description: partial small subunit ribosomal RNA
Rfam family: Eukaryotic small subunit ribosomal RNA
Source: RNAcentral
CCAAUAGCGUAUAUUAAAGUUGUUGUGGUUAAAAAGCUCGUAGUUGAACCUUGGGCCUGGCUGGCCGGUCCGCCUCACCGCGUGCACUGGUCCGGCCGGGCCUUUCCCUCUGUGGAACCCCAUGCCCUUCACUGGGUGUGGCGGGGAAACAGGACUUUUACUUUGAAAAAAUUAGAGUGCUCCAGGCAGGCCUAUGCUCGAAUACAUUAGCAUGGAAUAAUAGGAUAGGACGCGCGGUUCUAUUUUGUUGGUUUCUAGGACCGCCGUAAUGAUUAAUAGGGACAGUCGGGGGCGUCAGUAUUCAAUAGUCAGAGGUGAAAUUCUUGGAUUUAUUGAAGACUAACUACUGCGAAAGCAUUCGCCAAGGAUGUUUUCAUUAAUCAGGAACGAAAGUUAGGGGAUCGAAGACGAUCAGAUACCGUCGUAGUCUUAACCAUAAACUAUGCCGACUAGGGAUCGGGCGAUGUUAUUUUUUGACUCGCUCGGCACCUUACG